GGUGGUUCGAUCCUGGCUCAGAUUGAACGCUGGCGGGAUGCUUUUGCCAUAUGCAAGUCGAACGGCAGUACUGACUUUCGGUCUGGUGGCGAGUGGCGAACGGGUGAGUAAUGUAUCGGAACGUACCAUAGCGGGGAUAACUACGCGAAAGCGUAGCUAAUACUGCAUACGCCCUUCGGGAAACAGACCUUUCGGGCCUCGUGCAACUAUUAGAGCGGCCGAUAUCGGAUUAGCUAGUUGGUGGGGGUAACGGCUCACUCGGGCGACGAUCCGUAGCUGGUUUGAGGACGACCAGCCACACUGGGACUGAGACACGGCCCAGACUCCUACGGAGGCAGCAGUGGGGAAUUUUGGACAAUGGGGGAAACCCUGAUCCAGCCAUCCCGCGUGUGCGAUGUAGUCUUCGGGUUGUAAAGCACUUUGGCAGGAAAGAACGGCACGGAUACCCAGCAACUGACGGAAAAUUUGCAGAAUAAGCACUGGCUAACUACGUGCCAGCAGCUGCGGUAAUAGAUGUAGGGUGCAAGCGUUAAUCGGAAUUACUUUGGGCGUAAAGCGUGCGCAGGCGGUUCGAAAGAAAGAUGUAGAAAUCCUGCAGAGCUAACUUUGGAAAUCAGUAUUUAACUAUCAGAGCUGAGGCCGAGGGAGGUGAAAUUCGCGCAGUGAAAUGCGCAGAUAUGCGGAUGAGUUCACCGAUACAGGCAGCUUCGAUAAACACUGACGUCACAGUGCAUGAAAGCGUGGGGAGCAAACAGACGCACAGAUACCCGGCAGUCCGUCGCCCAAACGAUGUCAACUAGCUGUUGGGGCCUUCUUCGGGCCGCAGUAGCAGUUAAUCAGCAGGUUGACCAUGCUUGUGAGCAUGGUCAAAGAUUAAAACUCAAAGGAAUUGAUUUGGGACCCGCACAAGCGGACAUGGAUUAAUUCCGAUGCAAACGCGAAAACCUUACCCACCUGACAUGUCUGGAAUCCCGAAGAGAUUUGGGAGUGCUCGCAAGAGAACCGAAACACAGGUGCCAUGGCUGUCGUCAGCUCGUAUACCGUGAGAGAUGUUGGGUUAAGUCCCGGCAACGAGCGCAAAUCCCUUGUCAUUGGGCUGCUACGAAAGGGCACUCUAAUGAGACCGCUGGUGACAAACCGAGGAAGGUGGGGAUGACGUCAAGUCCUCAUGGCCCUUAUGGGUAGGGCUUCACACGUCAUACAAUGGUCGGGACAGAGGGUCGCUAACCCGCGAGGGGGAGCUAAUCCCAGAAACCUGAUCAGUCCGGAUCGCAGUCUGCAACCUCGACUGCGUGAAGUCGGAAUCGCUAGUAAUCGCGGAUCAGCAUGUCGCGGUGAAUACGUUCCCGGGUCUUGCACACCGCCUGUCACACCAUGGGAGUGGGUUUUACCAAGAGUUAGCCUAACCGUAAGGAGGGCGAUUACCACGGCAGGAUUCAUGACUGGGGUGAAGUCGUAACAAGGUAGCUCUGGAGCUACUCCGAUG
RNAcentral lists this ribosomal RNA (1486 nucleotides) under uncultured Bordetella sp. RNAcentral describes it as "partial 16S-23S ribosomal RNA intergenic spacer". It matches the Rfam family "Bacterial small subunit ribosomal RNA". Lineage: Bacteria; Pseudomonadati; Pseudomonadota; Betaproteobacteria; Burkholderiales; Alcaligenaceae. The record is from RNAcentral.